RNAcentral lists this long non-coding RNA (372 nucleotides) under Panax ginseng (ginseng). RNAcentral's name for it is "long non-coding RNA (PGIN_LNC003235)". Lineage: Eukaryota; Viridiplantae; Streptophyta; Magnoliopsida; Apiales; Araliaceae. The record is from RNAcentral.
UCAAAAUGAGUUAGAUGAUUAAAUAAAGUGUGGUGAUGCUAAAAGUAACCUUAAGUAACUUAAAUAUACAUGCCUAUACUAUCCUAGUGUCCAGAGUUGGAAAAAUUUGGAAAAAGUACAAAAUCAAUUUUGUAAAAAAAGUAAGAAAAUGGCUAAGUUUGAGCCCUGUUUUGGAAAGCCUAAUGGGCAUGAACCAGAAUCCUAAACCUUGAUUAAAAUACCUUGUAGUAUGGUCUAGAAGUUGGGCCAAGUGGUUAAGCUCUUGGCUUAACCAAGGAGUCUAAACAAAUCACCAAACUAACUUGGAAAAUCACUAAAACUGCAGUUUUUGCAAAUUUGUCUAAGUAUGAAAAUUUGAGAUUUUUCCAUUUG